UGCUAACAUCCUUCGCUACUAU
RNAcentral lists this microRNA (22 nucleotides) under Callorhinchus milii (elephant shark). Its description in RNAcentral is "eshark_NOVEL_142". The record is from RNAcentral. Lineage: Eukaryota; Metazoa; Chordata; Chondrichthyes; Chimaeriformes; Callorhinchidae.